GAUGAACGCUGGCGGCGUGCUUAACACAUGCAAGUCGAACGGAGUUUAUAUAGAAGGAGUCUUCGGACAACAGAAGUAUAAACUUAGUGGCGGACGGGUGAGUAACGCGUGGGUAACCUGCCUUAUACAAGGGGAUAACAGAGGGAAACUUCUGCUAAUACCGUAUAAAAAUAUUUCACGCAUGUGAAAUAUUUGAAAGAUUUAUCAGUAUAAGAUGGACCCGCGUCUGAUUAGGUAGUUGGUGAGGUAGAGGCUCACCAAGCCGACGAUCGGUAGCCGAUCUGAGAGGAUGACCGGCCACAUUGGGACUGAGACACGGCCCAAACUCCUACGGGAGGCAGCAGUGGGGAAUAUUGGACAAUGGGGGCAACCCUGAUCCAGCGACGCCGCGUGAGUGAAGAAGUAUUUCGGUAUGUAAAGCUCUAUCGAUAACGGAAGAAAAUGACAAGCCGUUAAGGAAGAAGCCCCGGCUAACUACGUGCCAGCAGCCGCGGUAAUACGUAGGGGGCAAGCGUUAUCCGGAUUUACUGGGUGUAAAGGGAGCGUAGACGGCAUAUAAAGUCUGAAGUGAAAUCCCGCAGCUCAACUGCGGAGUUGCUUUGGAAACUUAUAAGCUGGAGUGUCGGAGGGGUAAGCGGAAUUCCCAGUGUAGCGGUGAAAUGCGUAGAUAUUGGGAGGAACACCGGAGGCGAAGGCGGCUUACUGGAAGAUAACUGACGUUGAGGCUCGAAGGCGUGGGUAGCAAACAGG
RNAcentral lists this ribosomal RNA (750 nucleotides) under uncultured Lachnospiraceae bacterium. Its description in RNAcentral is "bacterial SSU rRNA". It matches the Rfam family "Bacterial small subunit ribosomal RNA", at positions 28 to 776 of the family's 1533-position model. Lineage: Bacteria; Bacillati; Bacillota; Clostridia; Lachnospirales; Lachnospiraceae. The record is from RNAcentral.